CUGUUCGUCAGGCUACUAGUUGCCCAAGACUUGGGGAAACCUGCCAGAGGGGGCCCCAAAGCAAACUCCUGCUUUCAGGAGGUCUGCAGGUGAGCCAGCCUCUUUGGGCAUCUCUAGGUGGGCUUGUUCUGGGAUACCUGAGUUUUGAUCUCAGCCCUGAGAGCAGAGAAACGCGGAAGCAAGGAGAUUCAGGAAGAGAAGCCAGAUGUUGACCUCUAUGGCCUCCUCUGGGGAGGAUGAAGAGAAGGCUCGUAGAAAGAAUGAAGACAGGAGGACGACAGACCUGCUUCUCAGCUGGAGGACUUUUAGGGCUAAGCACUAGCAUGGACUAAGGAGUCGAAAAUACAAACCACGUGACCUGAGUGCUGAGCCGCCGAGACAGAAUUUGCUAUUUAGGCUGAGCAUGGUGUUGCACACAUGUUAUCUCCGCACCCAAGCCACUGGCAGGAAGAUUACCUGGUCUAAAAAUAAAUAAAUAAAUGAAAAAUCCUUCACCCGGGGCAUA
Mus pahari (shrew mouse) is the source of this 505-nucleotide long non-coding RNA. RefSeq lists it as uncharacterized. The record is from RefSeq and is a predicted model, not a curated record. The transcript has 3 exons. Lineage: Eukaryota; Metazoa; Chordata; Mammalia; Rodentia; Muridae.